GCGUAUUGAUCUACCUUUUACAGAGGGAUAGCCCAGAUAAAUUUGGAUUAAUACCUCAUAGUAUUUUCGAAUCGCAUGAUUUGAUUAUUAAAGUUCCAACGGUAAAAGAUGAGUAUGCGUCCCAUUAGCUAGAUGGUAAGGUAACGGCUUACCAUGGCAACGAUGGGUAGGGGUCCUGAGAGGGAGAUCCCCCACACUGGUACUGAGACACGGACCAGACUCCUACGGGAGGCAACAGUGAGGAAUAUUGGACAAUGGGCGCAAGCCUGAUCCAGCCAUGCCGCGUGCAGGAAGACGGUCCUAUGGAUUGUAAACUGCUUUUAUACAGGAAGAAACACCUCUACGUGUAGAGACUUGACGGUACUGUAUGAAUAAGCAUCGGCUAGCUCCGUGCCAGCAGCCGCGGUAAUACGGAGGAUGCAAGCGUUAUCCGGAAUCAUUGGGUUUAAAGGGUCCGUAGGCGGUUUAAUAAGUCAGUGGUGAAAGCCCAUCGCUCAACGAUGGAACGGCCAUUGAUACUGUUAAACUUGAAUUAUUAGGAAGUAACUAGAAUAUGUAGUGUAGCGGUGAAAUGCUUAGAGAUUACAUGGAAUACCAAUUGCGAAGGCAGG
This 611-nucleotide ribosomal RNA is filed under the name uncultured Flavobacterium sp. Its description in RNAcentral is "bacterial SSU rRNA". It matches the Rfam family "Bacterial small subunit ribosomal RNA", at positions 115 to 725 of the family's 1533-position model. Lineage: Bacteria; Pseudomonadati; Bacteroidota; Flavobacteriia; Flavobacteriales; Flavobacteriaceae. The record is from RNAcentral.